RNAcentral lists this unclassified non-coding RNA (338 nucleotides) under Basidiomycota sp. RNAcentral describes it as "partial contains small subunit ribosomal RNA, internal transcribed spacer 1, and 5.8S ribosomal RNA". The stretch from base 1 to 47 matches the Rfam family "Eukaryotic small subunit ribosomal RNA", at positions 1785 to 1831 of the family's 1831-position model. Lineage: Eukaryota; Fungi; Basidiomycota. The record is from RNAcentral.
AAAGUCGUAACAAGGUUUCCGUAGGUGAACCUGCGGAAGGAUCAUUACAGAGUAAACUUGGUGGGUUGUUGCUGGCUCUCAAUUGAGCAUGUGCACGCCUGUCAUAUUUAUCUUUCCACCAUGUGCACUUUUUGUAGGUCUAGAAUAGACAUUAAGCCUAGUCACUUGUGGGCUACUGGAAUGUUGCUGAUAAUAUCAGCUCUUUCUGCUAUUGGCUGUCUUUUCCAGGCUCUACGAUUUAUCUAUAAAACACCAUGUAUGUCAAUGAACGUAAUCAAUGGGCCCACAAAGCCUAUAAACCUAUAAUACAACUUUCAGCAACGGAUCUCUUGGCUCUC